Molecule: ribosomal RNA, 376 nt
Filed under: uncultured bacterium
Lineage: Bacteria
Description: bacterial SSU rRNA
Rfam family: Bacterial small subunit ribosomal RNA
Source: RNAcentral
AUGCAGAGGGUGCGAGCGUUAAUCGGAUUUACUGGGCGUAAAGCGUGCGUAGGCGGCUUUUUAAGUCGGAUGUGAAAUCCCUGAGCUUAACUUAGGAAUUGCAUUCGAUACUGGGAAGCUAGAGUAUGGGAGAGGAUGGUAGAAUUCCAGGUGUAGCGGUGAAAUGCGUAGAGAUCUGGAGGAAUACCGAUGGCGAAGGCAGCCAUCUGGCCUAAUACUGACGCUGAGGUACGAAAGCAUGGGGAGCAAACAGGAUUAGAUACCCUGGUAGUCCAUGCCGUAAACGAUGUCUACUAGCCGUUGGGGCCUUUGAGGCUUUAGUGGCGCAGCUAACGCGAUAAGUAGACCGCCUGGGGAGUACGCACGCAAGUGUGAA